CCAGACUCCUACGGGAGGCAGCAGUGGGGAAUAUUGGGCAAUGGGCACAAGCCUGACCCAGCAACGCCGCGUGAAGGAAGAAGGCUUUCGGGUUGUAAACUUCUUUUAUCAGGGACGAAGCAAGUGACGGUACCUGAUGAAUAAGCCACGGCUAACUACGUGCCAGCAGCCGCGGUAAUACGUAGGUGGCAAGCGUUAUCCGGAUUUACUGGGUGUAAAGGGCGUGUAGGCGGGAAAGCAAGUCAGAUGUGAAAACCAUGGGCUCAACCUGUGGCCUGCAUUUGAAACUGUUUUUCUUGAGUACUGGAGAGGCAGACGGAAUUCCUAGUGUAGCGGUGAAAUGCGUAGAUAUUAGGAGGAACACCAGUGGCGAAGGCGGCCUGCUGGACGAUGACUGACGUUGAGGCUCGAAAGCGUGGGGAGCAAACAGGAUUAGAUACCCCAGUACG
RNAcentral lists this ribosomal RNA (449 nucleotides) under uncultured bacterium. RNAcentral describes it as "bacterial SSU rRNA". It matches the Rfam family "Bacterial small subunit ribosomal RNA", at positions 331 to 793 of the family's 1533-position model. The record is from RNAcentral.